GGUCGUGGUCGGUACCCCCGGCCGUGUCUUCGACAUGCUGCGCCGCCGCUACCUGCGCGCGGACUCCAUCAAGAUGUUCACCCUGGACGAGGCCGAUGAGAUGCUGUCUCGCGGUUUCAAGGACCAGAUCUACGACAUCUUCCAGCUGCUGCCCCCCAAGCUGCAGGUGAGCCGGCUGCCAGCAUUGCAUGGGCUUGGUCUGUCGCUUGCAAUUGCUUGUAGAAAUCUGCGCGGUCGACGUGGGAUUGGAAGGCGGCGUGAUUGAACUGCACCAGAUGGCAAAGACGCUGAGCAGCAAGGACGCGGCGGAAUCAGCAGCUGUGGCGCGAGCGGCCGGGAGCGUCGUGGAGCAGUGGGUUGCCAGCGUGGUGGAUGAUCACACGCGCCAAACGUCCUGAUGAAUGGCAUGGUAUCCACGAGUGGGGAAAAGACAUGUACUGGCGCUCUGACAUGCCUGCUUAUCUGCCGUGUGCAGGUCGGUGUGUUCUCCGCCACCCUGCCCCCUGAGGCGCUGGAGAUUACCCGCAAGUUCAUGAACAAGCCCGUAAGUUGGUUGCCCGUGGAGGUGGGCGGAAAGGCAGUGGGGAUUUGAGAAUGCCAGAUCGGUUUGGGGUUCGAAGUUAUUGAGCCUGUGAGCUGGAUGAGUGCCGCGCUUACUGGCUCCCAAUUCUCGUCAAACGCCUCUGUAGGUGCGCAUUCUGGUGAAGCGCGAUGAGCUGACCCUGGAGGGUAUCAAGCAGUUCUACGUGAACGUGGACAAGGAGGAGUGGAAGCUGGACACGCUGUGCGACCUGUACGAGACGCUGGCCAUCACCCAGUCCGUCAUCUUCGCCAACACCCGCCGCAAGGUGUGGGCGGGGACGCGCGGGGGGGGGGGGCGCCUGGGGAUGCGCGAUGGGGACCAACCAGCUUCAUUUGGCACAGCCGGCAAACUUCUGAGGGCAGGGCGGCCCGGCUAACGUGUUUGUGGGAACGGUUGCCUAGCACCCUGUUGUGUUGCUAACGAAUUAUGCCCAUGCUGCCGAUGCAAUCCGCAGGUGGACUGGCUGACGGACAAGAUGCGCGAGCGCGACCACACCGUGUCCGCCACCCACGGCGACAUGGACCAGAACACGCGCGAUGUGAUCAUGCGCGAGUUCCGCUCCGGCUCGUCGCGUGUGCUGAUCACCACCGACCUGCUGGCCCGCGGCAUUGACGUGCAGCAGGUGUCGCUGGUCAUCAACUACGACCUGCCCACCCAGCCCGAGAACUACCUGCACCGCAUUGGUCGCUCGGGCCGCUUCGGACGCAAGGGUGUUGCCAUCAACUUCGUGACCAAGGUAAGCGGCUGGGCAAGGAGGUCAAUGAAAGGCGAUGUUCGGAACUCUUGCUGGAGCCGAAUAUGGAUUGGGAAAGGGUGCUUGGCCGGCGCGUGUCAGCGCUGAAGCAUUGAUGACGCGAUGAUGAGAGUGGCAGUAAGGCGUGCUGCUGUGGAACGCGGGACCUGGCACCUGCUGACUCUCAACCAUAUCCUUGUGCCUUUGCAGGACGACGAGCGCAUGCUCCAGGACAUCCAGCGGUUCUACAACACCGUGAUUGAGGAGCUGCCCUCGAACGUCGCUGACCUCAUCUAAGCGCUCUACUACCACCAAAUGUGCGCUAGCCCCUGGGUCCAGCCGAUCCCAAGCACGGGGCGAAGCCUGCAGGAUGUGAAGGGCACGGGGCAGGGCGCGCCGCCACGCAGCCGCCCCGUGAC
Molecule: long non-coding RNA, 1735 nt
Filed under: Chlamydomonas reinhardtii
Lineage: Eukaryota; Viridiplantae; Chlorophyta; Chlorophyceae; Chlamydomonadales; Chlamydomonadaceae
Description: long non-coding RNA (CREI_LNC000570)
Source: RNAcentral